Molecule: non-coding RNA, 159 nt
Filed under: unclassified sequences
Description: FuFi-1 RNA
Rfam family: FuFi-1 RNA
Source: Rfam by way of RNAcentral
UGUGUCAGCUAUCAGGCAAUCUGCAGAACCAUACUGCUAAAGUGACACAACUCCUAAAGAAGCACUGGGCGCUAUCCAUUGCGGCGAAAGCCUGCAAGGAUUAUAGGGUAAACAAAUUUGGCAAUUAGCUGGCAGGAAUAGCGCUCCUGACAGCUUAUU